RNAcentral lists this non-coding RNA (24 nucleotides) under Arabidopsis thaliana (thale cress). Lineage: Eukaryota; Viridiplantae; Streptophyta; Magnoliopsida; Brassicales; Brassicaceae. The record is from RNAcentral.
ACCCUCUUCGUAGACACCGACGCC